RNAcentral lists this ribosomal RNA (611 nucleotides) under uncultured fungus. RNAcentral describes it as "eukaryotic LSU rRNA". It matches the Rfam family "Eukaryotic large subunit ribosomal RNA", at positions 1 to 614 of the family's 3401-position model. The record is from RNAcentral. Lineage: Eukaryota; Fungi.
UUGACCUCAGAUCAGGUAGGACUACCGCCUGAACUUAAGCAUAUCAAUAAGGCGAGGAACAGAAACCAACAGGGAUUCCCCUAGUAGUGGCGAAUGAAGCGGGAAAAGCUCAAGUUUGAAAUCCGGUGGGGUCAUCCCCUCCAGAGUUGUAAGCUGAAGAGGCGUCGACCGACGUUGUCCGGGCCCAAUUUCCUUGGAACAGGAGGUCAUGGAGGGUGAGAACCCCGUCUGUGGCUCGGAGCCAACGUCCUUGUGUCGUGUCCUCGAAGAGUCGGGUUGUUUGGGAAUGCAGCUCAAAAUGGGUGGUAAAUUCCAUCUAAGGCUAAAUAUUGGCGAGAGACCGAUAGGAAACAAGUAGAGUGAUCGAAAGAUGAAAAGUACUUUGAAAAGAGAGUGAAACAGUACGUGAAAUUGUUGAAAGGGAAGCGUUUGGCAUCAGCCCAUGGCGUCCGUCGAUCACUCGAGCUUCUGUUCGAUGCACUUGACGGACGUCGGGCCAGCGUCGGCUUUGCCUGCCGGAGAAAGGUCUCGGGAAUGUGGCACCCCUCGGGGUGUGUUAUAGCCCUUGGCGUCAUACGGUGUGGCGGGGCCGAGGUCCGCGGUUUAUACCU